CGUAGAUCUGCCAUACAGUACAGAACCUGAAACUGAGCAUCUCAAUUAAGCGGAGGAAAAAAGAACCUAACUAGGAUUCCUUAGUAAAAGGCGAUCGAAAAGGAACAGCCCACGUCUUAAUCCCGCAGGAGAAAUGGUGUGGUCACCUAUUGCACUGUCAAGUCAGAUGGAAUGCUGACGCGAUUCAGAGUAAAAGCCUCGUCAUGACCAAACCGCAAGCUUACGAUGACCGGGGAGUCGGAUACUUUUGAGAGUAUGUCUUAAGGGGGUGGUAUGUCCCAUCCAAGGCUAAAUAACUGAGUAGAGAAGAUAGAUUACAAUAGUGUGGAAGCGAAAAGAUGAAAAAAGAAUCUUAAAACAGAGGUGUGAAAAAGUUCCUGAACUGCUUAGGGUUAAGGCUAUUUAAUGUACCACGUCUUGAAAACGAUUAGGAGUUUAUCUGUAGUGCGAGUCUUGCACGUUAACUGUAAGAGGCGUAGAAAAGCAACUGGCGUUGCAUGGCUACUCGAGCAUUACUGAUAGGAACCGAAAGGUGUGAACUUUGCCUCACAGGUUGAAGUCAGGGGACUCUGAUGGAGGACCGUACGGGUUAUUGAUGUGCAAAUCAUUUUUCUGAUGUAGGUAAAAGGUGCAGAAAGACUCAUCAAACCCACCUAUGCUGUUUCCUCGAAGUUCUCCAUCAGGAUAGUGUUCAUUUAGUUUAAGGGGAGAUAGAGAUUAUGGGUAGAGGUGCAGGAGCCUUCGGUUUCAACUUAUUCCAAACUUCGAACUCCUUUUAGCAUUACCUCACUGAAAUGCGUUAAAUGAAUCGGCGUUCUUAACAAGUGCUCUGACCGGUAAGCGUCAUGUCGAAACUGGAUUUGAACCAUACGUGAAUAGGUGCCGAAAUGACUAUCCACUGAAUACCAUAAGAGAGUCCAUGUAUUUAGACAGAUGGUCGUCCCUAAACACAUUAAUCGCUAAAGAGUGUGUUAAAACUCACUCGCAAUACUAGGGCCCCCGAAAAUGAAUGGCCGCAUAUAGUACUCCGAUCUCAGACAUCAAGUUCUAAUUGAAACUGAGAGGUAGGGGAUGUGGAACAUUUUUGUGAGGUGCAAUGUGAGUUUGGACUGGAGAUGUCUAAUUACAGGAUCCUAAUUGGGAAGUAGGAUUAUCCAGGCCCUUGUAUCCUGGGGGCUGAAUGAGGAGUAGGGUUUCAUGGACAACUUAAACAGUCCAGAGUUAGUCGAUCCUAAUCUCAUAAUGGGAGAAGGGAGUCCAGUUGAUAUUCUGUAAUGACAACAGUUUCGCGGCAACGCAUACUAUUUUUCUCCGCCAAUCUUAAUACCGUUGGUAGGGGUUUUUCCUACAUGACAGUAUAAUACCCAGGGAAAACUGGUCAUCCGGCGAAACCUGCGGCGUUCUGCUGGCAAAACAUAGCUUCGGUUAUGUUGACUCAUCGGCUAUUGGAUUGGUCAUGAAGCGAAAAUAGUUUACUGUGUCACUCCCGUACCGGAUAACCGCAUCAGGUUUCUAGGUAGUAGCCUCAAUGCCAUUGAGGCAAUGAUAGUUCAGGGAAUUCGGCAAUUAGAAGGAUGUAACUUUCAGGGAUAAAAGCUUGGCUUGAUGAAAAUCAGAACCGAUUGUUACGCGGAGAGCCCACUGGUUUAAUAAAAACGUAGUGUUCGCGGCUGUGGUAGUAUAGCCAGUGAACGCGACAGAUGAAUCCUGCUCAGUGCUGUGUCUGUUAAUAUGGUUCAAGCCACGAAGCAACCGGUAAAAUAGCUGGGGUACUAUGAUCUUAUCAAAGUAGCGAAAUACCUCGUCACUUAAUUAGUGACCUGCAAUGAAGGAGCUAUGAGGUUUCUCACUGUCCCAAACUGUCCUCUCAGCGAAACAACUGUAGGUGGGAACGGUCCUAGAUAUCCAGCGGGGAAGAAGACCCUGUAGAGCUUCACUUGGUCUAGUCUUGUAUAGUUUCCUGCGGGGGUGUAGACUACGGUGGGAGGAGCAUCGAUUCUGAAAAACCAAUACCCUGUUUGAAUUAAUGCUUUACCUAUCACAGGAAUAGGAUAGAAAUUAGAAAAGUUUGGCUGGGGCGGCACACUUCAAGAGAGCGAAGGGUUGUCCUAAGUUGAGCUCAAGUGAGACCAAAUUCUCACGUUGAGGAUAGGCCAAAAGCUCAAUUUACUGUGCUNNNNNNNNNNNNNNNNNNNNNNNNNUUACUGUGCCUUUUGUACUAGGAUCAGUUACGAAAGUAAGGCCUAACGAUCCCUAAAUAGCCUCAGGUGCGUGAGGAUUGGGUGACAGACAAGUUACCUCCGGACAACUGCUUGUGGCUGCUAAAGAUCAAAUCAACGCAGCUUUUUGAUUCUUCGAUGUCGCUCUUCCUAUCCUAGUGAUGUACAAGUUGCUAAGGUCGGAUGUUCACCCGUAUUAGGGAUCGUGAGCUGGGUUUAGACCGUCGUGAGCCAGGUUGUUUUAUCCUACUGGAUAUAGCAUCAUGAUAGUAAUUGAUUUAGUACGAGAGGAACUGUUGAUUAUGGCCUCUGGUUAGCGAUUAUCGAAACGUAUGUCGCGCAGCUACGCCGUCUGGAUAAUGGCUGAAAGCCUCUAAGCCAGAAGCCAUCUAGAAAGUGAUGCACGUGAUGUUGGACCGAUACGAAUAAUCAUACUCAAAAGUCCGCUUCAUAGUAACCCAAUGUAGAAGACAUUGUUGAACGAAGUACUGUAAGCAGUGGAGUGGCAUUACGUCCACGACCUGUUGAGGUUCAGCUUCGCUUCUAGGUUUCCAAAAUAUUU
This 2781-nucleotide ribosomal RNA is filed under the name Trichomonas vaginalis G3. RNAcentral's name for it is "23S ribosomal RNA". It matches the Rfam family "Eukaryotic large subunit ribosomal RNA". The record is from RNAcentral. Lineage: Eukaryota; Parabasalia; Trichomonadida; Trichomonadidae.